Molecule: microRNA precursor, 66 nt
Filed under: Caenorhabditis elegans
Lineage: Eukaryota; Metazoa; Nematoda; Chromadorea; Rhabditida; Rhabditidae
Description: Cel-Mir-4814_pre stem-loop
Source: RNAcentral
UUCUCAACCAACUUUGGCCACUUUUCAACUGCCAUUCACAGAAGUGGGCAAAGUUGGUUGAGAAGU